This 1513-nucleotide ribosomal RNA is filed under the name uncultured bacterium. RNAcentral describes it as "bacterial SSU rRNA". It matches the Rfam family "Bacterial small subunit ribosomal RNA". The record is from RNAcentral.
AGAGUUUGAUCCUGGCUCAGGACGAACGCUGGCGGUGUGCCUCAUACAUGCAAGUCGAACGAUAAGGUUCCUUCGGGAAUACAUAAGUGGCGGACGGGUGAGUACAACAUAGGAAAUCUGCCCUAAAGCGGGGGACAACAGAGGGAAACUUCUGCUAAUACCCCAUAUGAGCUUGGUUGAAAUACCAAUCUUGAAAGAUUUAUCACUUUAGGAUGAGCCUGUGCCUGAUUAGCUGGUUGGUGGUGUAAUGGACUACCAAGGCGACGAUCAGUAGCUGGUUUGAGAGGAUGAUCAGCCACAAUGGGACUGAGACACGGCCCAUACUCCUACGGGAGGCAGCAGUAGGGAAUUUUGCGCAAUGGGGGAAACCCUGACGCAGCAACACCGCGUGAAUGUUAAGCCCUUCGGGGUGUAAAGUUCUGUCAGUAGGGAAGAACAAAUGACUGUACCUACAAAGGAAGCACCGGCUAACUCCGUGCCAGCAGCCGCGGUAAUACGGGGGGUGCAAGCGUUGUCCGGAAUCAUUGGGCGUAAAGCGUUCGUAGGCGGUAAAGUAAGUCAGAUGUUAAAGCCCGGGGCUCAACUCCGGUUCGGCAUUUGAUACUACUUAACUGGAAUGCGGUAGAGGUUAAGGGAAUUCCUGGUGUAGCGGUGAAAUGCGUAGAUAUCAGGAAGAACAUCGGUGGCGAAAGCGCUUAACUGGGCCGUUAUUGACGCUGAGGAACGAAAGCCGGGGGAGCAAAUGGGAUUAGAUACCCCAGUAGUCCCGGCUGUAAACGAUGAACACUAGGUGUUGCGGGUAUCGACCCCUGCAGUGCCGCAGCUAACGCGAUAAGUGUUCCGCCUGGGGAGUACGCACGCAAGUGUGAAACUUAAAGGAAUUGACGGGGACCCGCACAAGCGGUGGAACAUGUGGUUUAAUUCGAAGCAACGCGAAGAACCUUACCAGGACUUGACAUUGAUAGAAUCCUGAUGAAAGUCGGGAGUGCCCUUCGGGGAACUUGAAAACAGGUGGUGCACGGUUGUCGUCAGCUCGUGUCGUGAGAUGUUGGGUUAAGUCCCGCAACGAGCGCAACCCUUGUCGUUAGUUGGUCAUAGCGGUAUACUUCUAUGCACCUCUCUAGCGAGACUGCCGGUGAUAAACCGGAGGAAGGUGAGGACGACGUCAAAUCAUCAUGCCCCUUACGUUCUGGGCUACACACGUGUUACAAUGGCCGGUACAACGAGCAGCGAACUCGCGAGGGCAAGCAAAUCUCUUAAACCCGGUCUCAGUUCGGAUUGCACUCUGCAACUCGAGUGCAUGAAGUCGGAAUCGCUAGUAAACGCAGAUCAGCACGCUGCGUUGAAUACGUUCCCGGGUCUUGUACACACCGCCCGUCACACCAUGGGAGUCGACCACGCCCGAAGUACGUGAGCUAACCAUUUGGAGGCAGCGUCCUAAGGCAGGGUUGGUAACUGGGGUGAAGUCGUAACAAGGUAGCCGUACCGGAAGGUGUGGCUGGAUCACCUCCUU